CUAGUGAGCUCUCACAAUCCAUCAAUGAUAUUUAGUUGUAUAUAACAGUAACCCAAUAGAACCGAAAAAGAAUCUCAAGGUGUAGUACUUGUAUGAUCUAGUUUCUUUAUUGUGAGUCCUGACUUGAUGGCAGAUCUUAGAUAAAUCAUCAAAUCUCAACAUCAGUCAUACAAUAGAUUCAAUCAGCUCAAGUCCAAAAGUGAUUUGUAUGAAAAUUCCUUUCC
RNAcentral lists this long non-coding RNA (224 nucleotides) under Elaeis guineensis (African oil palm). RNAcentral's name for it is "long non-coding RNA (EGUI_LNC037945)". The record is from RNAcentral. Lineage: Eukaryota; Viridiplantae; Streptophyta; Magnoliopsida; Arecales; Arecaceae.